Molecule: ribosomal RNA, 1755 nt
Filed under: Triticum aestivum (bread wheat)
Lineage: Eukaryota; Viridiplantae; Streptophyta; Magnoliopsida; Poales; Poaceae
Description: partial small subunit ribosomal RNA
Source: RNAcentral
AUGUCUUAUCCUCAAAAUGUUCGAUCUGGCUCCUCCUGUCCCCGAACUUCCGCGCGAUAUCGGGCUCCUAUAUUUUUGUAUUUUCAAAACAGUCCUUUUUCCUUUUCUCCUCUCGCUGAUUCUUCGCUCUCCCCCCUUCCUUUCGGAUUAACCACCCUGAAGCCCAUUCAGCACAAGGCCCAUCUGAGCCCAUUCCCCAUUCCCAAACCCUCACCCCCCCUCCCCCCCCCUCCGCCGGCAUCGAACCGCCGGAGCGGCCGCGCCACCAUGCACCGCCUCCUCCCUCCUCGCGGCUGCCUGCUCCGACGCCUGUCCACGGCCGCCGAGACCUCCGCAGCCUUGCCCCAUCCACCGCGGCGCCCGCUGGCCGACUCACUCUACCGCCGCGUCACUGCCGUAUGGAACCCGAACCUCCCGCUGACUCCCGUGCUGGAGCAAUGGGCGGUCACGGAGGGCCGGGCCGUCGAGAAGAACAACCUCAUGUGCAUCGUCAAGAAGCUCGUCCGCCUCCGCCGCUUCUCCCACGCGCUCGAGCUGUCAAUGUGGAUGACCGACCGGCGGUACAUGUACCUGUCGCCUGGCGACGUCGCGUACCGGCUGGAGCUGAUCAGCAAGGUGCAAGGCCUCGAGAGUGCCGUGAACUACUGGAAGAGCUUGUCGAUCCAGGUGAAGAAAUCUCAUUGCUACGGAUCCCUCCUGAAAUGCUAUGCGGAGGCAAAGUCCGUCGACGAGGCCGAAAAGCUCUUCGCGGAGAUGCAGGACUUGGGAAUGAUGAGAUCAUAUCCUUACAAUGUGAUGAUGAAGCUUUACUGGGAGACCGGGCAGGUUGAGAGGGUGCACACCAUGUACAGGACCAUGGAAGAGAGCGGCAUCAAGCCUGAUGUGUUCAGUAUCAACAUUCUGUUGACGGUGCUUGCAGCUGCUGGGAAUUUUGAUGGCAUUGAGGAAAUUAUCAAGAAGGUCGACCCGAAGAUCGUGAAUUGGCACUCACAUGCCAUUGUAGCCAGGGCUUUCAUGGAAGCCGGGCAGCAAGGAAAGGCCUUGCGAGCUAUCCAGGAAUCAGAAAAGCAGAUAGGUCGGAAGGAUGAGAGGGUUGCAUAUGGGUUCUUGCUUUCCAUGUUUGCUGAUUUGGGAAUGAGUAGUGAGGCAGACCGGGUUUGGAAUGUCUACAAGUCCAAAGUGCCGGUAUGCAACUCGAUGUACAUGUGCAGGAUAAGUGGGCUGCUUAAGAUGAAUGACAUUGAUAGUGCUGAGAAAGCCUUUAGAGAGUGGGAAAGUAGGUAUGUUCACCAUGAUAUCCACUUAACAAACUUACUGAUAAAUGCUUACUGCGCCAAAGGUCUUAUGGAGAAGGCAGAAGCUCUCCUGGAUGAAGCUAUCGCCAAAGGGAGGACACCUCACCGUGGUACUUGGUAUAGGUUGGCUAGUGGAUUUUUCCAGGACGGCCAGGUGUCGAAGGCGGUGGAUAUGACAAGGAAAGCUCUUGCUUGUGCGUCUUCUCGAUGGGAACCUGACCUAACAAAUGUGCUAAUGAGCCUGGAACAUUUCAUGGAGCAAAAGAAUGUUGAAGCAGCCGAGGAGAUGGCAAGCAUGCUACGGAAUUUAGUACCUUUGACAAGGGAUGUUUACCACAUUUUACUGGAGACAUAUGUUCAUGCAGGACAACCAGUGUCAGAUUUACUUGAUCGCAUGAAAAAAGAUGGUUUUGAGGCUGAUGAAGAAACAGAUAAAAUCAUCGCUGGAAUAUGCCAGUAG